GGACUGCUUGCCCGCCUCUUGCCCUGUGACUAUGGCCCUUGGGAUGUAUUGCCCUUUAAAGACAUGAUUUGGGCAUAAUGUAUUUGUGUUGUGCUGCUGCUGGCCCUUUAAGAACCAUCUGGGGACAUACUGUGGAGUUACUGGGUGGCCACCAUUUCCUGUAUCAGAAGCACAUGGUGAGAACAAUGGAUGGUGGCCAUUUUAACUCACAGACACUGUUUGGACUUUUCAACACGGUGC
Pelobates cultripes (western spadefoot toad) is the source of this 240-nucleotide non-coding RNA. Lineage: Eukaryota; Metazoa; Chordata; Amphibia; Anura; Pelobatidae. The record is from the annotation of a GenBank genome assembly.